GUGAACGCUGGCGGUAGGCCUAACCCAUGCAGGUCGAACGGCAGCACCGUAAGAGCUUGCUCUUACGGGUGGCGAGUGGCGGACGGGUGAGGAAUACAUCGGAAUCUACUUUUUCGUGGGGGAUAACGUAGGGAAACUUACGCUAAUACCGCAUACGACCUACGGGUGAAAGCAGGGGAUCUUCGGACCUUGCGCGAUUGAAUGAGCCGAUGUCGGAUUAGCUAGUUGGCGGGGUAAAGGCCCACCAAGGCGACGAUCCGUAGCUGGUCUGAGAGGAUGAUCAGCCACACUGGAACUGAGACACGGUCCAGACUCCUACGGGAGGCAGCAGUGGGGAAUAUUGGACAAUGGGCGCAAGCCUGAUCCAGCCAUACCGCGUGGGUGAAGAAGGCCUUCGGGUUGUAAAGCCCUUUUGUUGGGAAAGAAAAGCAGCAGGUUAAUACCCCGCUGUUCUGACGGUACCCAAAGAAUAAGCACCGGCUAACUUCGUG
Molecule: ribosomal RNA, 491 nt
Filed under: uncultured bacterium
Lineage: Bacteria
Description: partial 16S ribosomal RNA
Rfam family: Bacterial small subunit ribosomal RNA
Source: RNAcentral